CGGAGUAUGUAACAUCCACUUCAAGCUCCUUCUGACUCAUUGUUCACAACUGCCUCUCGCCUACAGCCGAUCGCAAUUCUCAAGCCUUUCUGUAAUUCUUCGCUCUGCGCGUUCGUUCUCCACCUUCAAGCCUCACCAUGGCAAUCUCUGGAUGCGGCAAGCCUGACUGCGGUUGCGGCAGCGACUGCCAAUGCAGCAAUGGAUGCUCAUGCUGCAAGACUUUGGUCAACUUCAACACCGAGAACGACUGCAAGUGUGGCCCAAACUGCAACUGUGCCGACUGCGCAUGCCACAAGUGAGCGCAGCCACCGUCGUGGAUGCGCCGGUGCAGCAAUCCCAUAGCCACUGCCAUGGAAGCAACGAGAGGACAUGGCGGGUAGUUGCACCGCUUGGAAAGCAGCAACACUUGUGCAGAAAUAGUCCGAAAAACCACCUAUAAAAACAUGGCAUAUCUGCCCUUCACAGUAUCAUACAACAAUGUGGCAGAGGCCGUUAUAUUUGAAUAACAUAUUCGGGAUGGGGCUCCCUCGAGCUUCUCCCCUUUUUCUGUGAA
Non-coding RNA from Physcomitrium patens, 553 nucleotides. The record is from RefSeq and is a predicted model, not a curated record. Lineage: Eukaryota; Viridiplantae; Streptophyta; Bryopsida; Funariales; Funariaceae.